Molecule: ribosomal RNA, 254 nt
Filed under: uncultured bacterium
Lineage: Bacteria
Description: partial 16S ribosomal RNA
Rfam family: Bacterial small subunit ribosomal RNA
Source: RNAcentral
UACGUAGGGGGCUAGCGUUGUCCGGAAUCAUUGGGCGUAAAGAGCGCGUAGGCGGCCAGAUAAGUCCGGUGUGAAAGUCAAAGGCUCAACCUUUGAAUGCCGCUGGAAACUGUCUGGCUAGAGUCCGGGAGGGGCGAGUGGAAUUCCUGGUGUAGCGGUGAAAUGCGCAGAUAUCAGGAGGAACACCAAUGGCGAAGGCAGCUCGCUGGAACGGUACUGACGCUGAGGCGCGAAAAGCGUGGGGAGCGAACAGG